RNAcentral lists this long non-coding RNA (1251 nucleotides) under Mus musculus (house mouse). RNAcentral describes it as "long non-coding RNA chr9:102273735-102274986". Lineage: Eukaryota; Metazoa; Chordata; Mammalia; Rodentia; Muridae. The record is from RNAcentral.
AUAAGAGGGGCUGUUUAAGCUUUUACUUUUCUUACUCUCGCCCUCUUAUACUCUUUCUUAGUCUCUAAGCUUUUACCUCUCUCUCUUUAAGCUUUCUUACUCUCUAGCCUUUCUUCUCUCUCCUUUUCCCCCUUUACUCCUCUUGGCCAUGGCCGGUCUCUCUCUCUCUCUCUCUCUCUCUCUCUCUCUCUCUCUCUCUCUCUCUCUUCUACCUUUUCUCUUUCCCCCUGCCUUUCUACAAUAAAGCUCUAAAACCAUAGACUGACUCUCACCUUCAUGGGAACCUCUCUCUCUGCCCUCUUCCCAAGAGUGUCGCCCUGGGGCCCCUAUUCUGAUCUCAGCUCCUCUGCCAUAUCCAGCGUGGGAUGCCGGAGACUUGAGAACCUGGUACAGGGAAACUGCUCUUGUCUACCCCUCUGCCGUGUGGGGUCAGUGGCUUCACACAGGCCAAAUGCCCACUCGGGGCUUCGUGGAAAGCAUCCGGCAGUCCUCCUGUGUCUGCCUGCCCAGAGCUCAGGAACUCUGGCCGGAUGCUGGCUCUCUCCCUCCCCCCUCUUCCCCUACAUCCUAUGGCAGAAGUUUAAAACCAGCACAGCAUGUCUCCUCUGACCCUGCCUGGGUACAUGAUGCAGAUAAGCCUGGCAUAGCUGCUCCAGGUAACAAGGCUACACCAUGGACAUGAAAAGCUACUUGUAACAGCACAGCCCUCAUCUUGCUACUUGAAGCCAUCCUCAUCUUUCCCACAGAGAAGAGCACAUGUAAGUGGCUGAAGGAGAGAUUGUUACAAGGAGUAACUUUGAAACUUUAUCAUUUGCCAAAACAGGAAGCUAUCCACAACCAGUGUUCUAUGCUAGCAGUAGCAAUCUUCUUAGAAUCUGCUUUCCAGCGAAUGGGGACCUUUUUUCUGCAGUCUGACUUUGUAAUAGUUGGUGUUAAGGGUAUGUAUGCUAUAGUGGAUUGGGAAGGGUAGUGGGAUGCUAGUUCAUUGUGGAGUCUGAGGGUCACAGGAAGUCAGGGAGAGAUGUCUUAAAUGUGAAGAACAUAGCUUUAGGGCUAACCAUGCCACAAAGACCACCUGGCUGACUAUUUAUUGAGUUGCAGCCAAUCUAAAUUAUACUGACUGUCAAGUAUAAUUUAAGCUGUAACUAGCAGACCAACUCUUCCUAUCCCACCAGCUCCAAAGAAGCCAUGACAAGCUAAGGUAGGUAGGAAUUCAGACUCAAGUGCAUUAGUAAAAAAUCUAUUUAUACU